Molecule: long non-coding RNA, 253 nt
Filed under: Homo sapiens (human)
Lineage: Eukaryota; Metazoa; Chordata; Mammalia; Primates; Hominidae
Description: HSALNT0225442
Source: RNAcentral
AUGCUUGUGUGAAUGAAAGAUAGUGAGGCAGAAAAAUGAAAAGGCUGCAAAGUCAAAAACGGGGAGAUACUGACACCAAAUCUCUGCAAAGCGUUCAAAAUUCUCCAGCUGCCACGCUUUUAAUUUGCUACCAUUCUAAUUAAAAUGCAAAUUAAAUUUAUAAUUAGCAUCAGCGCUUUCUAAAGAAACCUCCUUGUGCGCUGCACAAACAUAUGGGACGAUGCUGUAGUGUAAAGUUUGUAAAACAGAAGUC